AAGACUAAAUUCUCAGGGAUCAUUUCUAUAGUUGGUUACUACUGACUGUAGAAAGCUCAAGGACAAGACAUAGUGUCCCCUCCUGAGCCUGAAGCCAGCUUUAUGUGCUGCUUCUAUGCAGUAGCCUCUUGCCAUUGAUGAUCGUGCUUCUCUCCUUUGGAAGGUAAGAGGGAGGGAAUGCAGUCUGAGUGGC
This is a small nucleolar RNA of Rattus norvegicus (Norway rat), 193 nucleotides long. Ensembl annotates it as small nucleolar RNA U3. Lineage: Eukaryota; Metazoa; Chordata; Mammalia; Rodentia; Muridae. The record is from Ensembl.